This 464-nucleotide ribosomal RNA is filed under the name uncultured bacterium. Its description in RNAcentral is "partial 16S ribosomal RNA". It matches the Rfam family "Bacterial small subunit ribosomal RNA", at positions 338 to 794 of the family's 1533-position model. The record is from RNAcentral.
CCUACGAGGGGCUGCAGUGGGGAAUAUUUCGCAAUGGGCGAAAGCCUGCCGCAGCGACGCCGCGUGAGGGAUGAAGGUCUUCGGAUCGUAAACCUCUGUCAGCAGGGAAGAACGGUCACUGUGCUAAUCAGCAGUGAAUUGACGGUACCUGCAAAGGAAGCACCGGCUAACUCCGUGCCAGCAGCCGCGGUAAUAAGGAGGGGGCGAGCGUUAAUCGGAAUUACUGGGCGUAAAGCGCUCGUAGGCGGUAUGUCAAGUCAAGGGUGAAAUCCCCGCGCUCAACGUGGGAACUGCCUUUGAAACUGGCAAACUGGAGUGUGUGAGAGGAUAGUGGAAGUCCAGGUGUAGGAGUGAAAUCCGGAGAUAUCUGGAGGAACAUCAGUGGCGAAGGCGACGAUCUGGCACAUAACUGACGCUGAGGAGCGAAAGCGUGGGUAGCAAACAGGAUUAGAUACCCCUGUAGU